This 440-nucleotide ribosomal RNA is filed under the name uncultured bacterium. RNAcentral describes it as "partial 16S ribosomal RNA". It matches the Rfam family "Bacterial small subunit ribosomal RNA", at positions 338 to 795 of the family's 1533-position model. The record is from RNAcentral.
CCUACGGGUGGCAGCAGUGGGGGAUAUUGCACAAUGGGGGAAACCCUGAUGGAGCGACGCCGCGGGUGGGAAGACGGUCUUCUGGAUUGUAAACCACUGUCACCAGGGAGGAAAAUGACGGUACCUGGGGAGGAAGCGCCGGCUAACUACGUGCCAGCAGCCGCGGUAAUACGGAGGGAGCAAGCGUUGUCAGGAAUUCCGGGGUGUAAAGGGAGCGGAGGCGGGGAGGCAAGGUGGGUGUCACACCUACCGGCUCAACCGCUAGUCGCACUCCACACUGCAGCUCUUGAGUGAAGUAGAGGCAGGCGGCAUUCCUCGUGUAGCGGUGAACUUCGUCGAUCUUAGGCGGACCCCCAGUGGCGACGGCGGCCUGCUGGGCUUUUCCUGACGCUGAUGCUCGAACGUGUGGGGAGCAAACAGGAUUAGAUACCCGGGUAGUC